This 305-nucleotide ribosomal RNA is filed under the name uncultured bacterium. Its description in RNAcentral is "bacterial SSU rRNA". It matches the Rfam family "Bacterial small subunit ribosomal RNA", at positions 333 to 636 of the family's 1533-position model. The record is from RNAcentral.
UGCUACCUACGGGGGGCAGCAGUGAGGAAUAUUGGUCAAUGGGCGGGAGCCUGAACCAGCCAAGUCGCGUGAGGGAAGACGGUCCUAUGGGUUGUAAACCUCUUUUGUCGGAGAACAAAACCCGGGACGUGUCCCGGACUGCGUGUAUCCGAAGAAAAAGCAUCGGCUAACUCCGUGCCAGCAGCCGCGGUAAUACGGAGGAUGCGAGCGUUAUCCGGAUUUAUUGGGUUUAAAGGGUGCGUAGGCGGUCCGUUAAGUCAGCGGUAAAAUUGCGGGGCUCAACCCCGUCGAGCAGUUGAAACUGG